AUAGCGUAUAUUAAAGUUGUUGCAGUUAAAAAGCUCGUAGUUGAACUUCGAACGUGGCUGGGCGGUCCGCCUCACGGUGUGUACUGUCUGGCCGUGUUCUCUUUCUUGGUGAGCCGGCAUGCCCUUUACUGGGUGUGUUGGGGAACCAGGACGUUUACCUUGAGAAAAUUAGAGUGUUCAAAGCAGGCCUACGCCCGGAUACAUUAGCAUGGCAUAAUAAAAUAGGACGUGCGGUUCUAUUUUGUUGGUUUCUAGAGUCGCCGUAAUGAUUAAUAGGGAUAGUUGGGGGCAUUGGUAUUGAGUCGCUAGAGGUGAAAUUCUUGGAUUGACUCAAGACCAACUAUUG
RNAcentral lists this ribosomal RNA (346 nucleotides) under uncultured eukaryote. Its description in RNAcentral is "SSU rRNA". It matches the Rfam family "Eukaryotic small subunit ribosomal RNA", at positions 594 to 945 of the family's 1831-position model. The record is from RNAcentral.